RNAcentral lists this ribosomal RNA (497 nucleotides) under uncultured bacterium. Its description in RNAcentral is "partial 16S ribosomal RNA". It matches the Rfam family "Bacterial small subunit ribosomal RNA", at positions 28 to 507 of the family's 1533-position model. The record is from RNAcentral.
GAUGAACGCUGGCGGCGUGCCUAAUACAUGCAAGUCGAGCGAACAGACGAGGAGCUUGCUCCUCUGACGUUAGCGGCGGACGGGUGAGUAACACGUGGAUAACCUACCUAUAAUACUGGGAUAACUUCGGGAAACCGGAGCUAAUACCGGAUAAUAUAUUGAACCGCAUGGUUCAAUAGUGAAAGACGGUUUUGCUGUCACUUAUAGAUGGAUCCGCGCCGCAUUAGCUAGUUGGUAAGGUAACGGCUUACCAAGGCAACGAUGCGUAGCCGACGUGAGAGGGUGAUCGGCCACACUGGAACUGAGAGACGGUCCAGACUCCUACGGGAGGCAGCAGUAGGGAAUCUUCCGCAAUGGGCGAAAGCCUGACGGAGCAACGCCGCGUGAGUGAUGAAGGUCUUCGGAUCGUAAAACUCUGUUAUGAGGGAAGAACAAAUGUGUAAGUAACUAUGCACGUCUUGACGGUACCUAAUCAGAAAGCCACGGCUAACUACGUG